This is a long non-coding RNA of Lacerta agilis (Sand lizard), 1658 nucleotides long. RefSeq lists it as uncharacterized. The transcript has 5 exons. The record is from RefSeq and is a predicted model, not a curated record. NCBI's taxonomy places the organism in Eukaryota, Metazoa, Chordata, Lepidosauria, Squamata, Lacertidae.
ACUGGGUCGUCUUUGGAGAGAACAAGAGCAGGGCCUGCUAUUCCUUGAACUUCUGGAGUUGUUUGCUUGCCCUCAUCCAGGUCUCAAUGAAAAAUACCCAGCCAGUAUGGUCACCAGCCAUAUAUAGAUCCUAUAGGCCCACUCUUCUCUUUCCAUGAUUGCAAAUACAGGCUACUCCUGCUUGGACCAGUUGGUUUAUACAUGUGAAAAGAGGAACCUUCAAUUUGACCAAUUCACAUUGCAUUUACGGGAGCAAGAAACUGGACGAAGUGGAAGCAGCUUACAAUAAAUGGUAGCAAAUGAAGUGGAUUUCCAUUGGCUUUAAUACGACGAGCCACAAAUCUCACCAGUCACAGCGUGAAACAGCAGUGUUCCGUUCCAUCACUUCAGGAAGCCAGGAGCGUCAUGUGCUGAUCUAUGACGUGCCCGUGAGUGACUGGAGCCACGGCUUUCAGAAGCGUAUGGGGAAGCCCAGGCAAGUGCAGAACCACCUUUCAAAUCUUCCUCACAUAACAGAGACACCAUGCUUUCCGAUUUAUUCUGUGGGUCAGGAAAGCUACAACGAUCAUCUGCUAGCAGGUCAUCACAACUACGAGAUUUCCGCUUGGGAGAAGAAGUCUCUUCCGUGCUGCUCCAGAUUUCUGCAUUCUGACGGGACAUUUGCCAGCCAUUCUUGUAGCUGAUUGCCCUUCUUGAGUCACUUGGCACAGCCAAGCGCUGUCCAUAGGUUCUACAGUAAUCUAAUUCAUUUGAGCUGCUGUAGUUGGGCACUGAGUAACUGGAAAGGGGUGAACACACUUUGCUAAUAUCCCCACCUUUAUAAUCCACAGAGCAGCAUGGUGAAAAAGAGACAUUGCCAGAAAUUAACAGAUUCAAAAGCAGAAAGGAAAUAAGACAAUCAGCACAUGACAGAAAGAACAGAGAAAAGGCAGUUAGUCUUCCUAACCUAGCAUUAAGCACUAAUGUAAAAUACACAUUACCAAAGCGUAGAGGAGGAAAAACAGAUUAAGCAUUUAUUAGAUCCUGGGCUGCAAUCCUUUACACACUUAUCUGGGAGUAAGCCUCAUUGAAAUAAAUGGUACUUUUGAUUUGAGUAGACAGGUAUAGGAUUGCACUGUUAAAAUCUAAAGGUUCAGCAAAUUGAAUCACAUGCUUCUACUAACAGUUAAAUAUUUUUAUAGGUUGUGGUGGGAGGACAGAGCAUCUGUUUCCAGCAAAUCUACCACAACUGUCUCAUUUCUGACCAUAUGAAAAUCCAUGGGUUUAUACGCAAUGAUCAUGUCACCUCUUUAGGGCAAUCAAAGCAGACAGGUUUUGUUCAGAAACUGAUAGCAAGGCAUAGCUAGAAAUGUAGAGAUAGACUUUUAACCUAGACACUUCUAAACUAUCUUUCCCUUUCCUUAAGAGGCUGCACCCUUACCAGUUUAUGCAGUUUAACAGUGAACAAAUGAGAAUUUGUUAUAUAAUGCUCUAGUAGCCACAGCCACAGACUAUUUUUGAGAUUCAUAUCCUCAUUCAAACUCCUGUGUAUGACAGAAGGUAUAGCAUUCUUUUUAUCUUCAAAAAUAGAACAUUUUUUCUGUCCAGACAACAAAAGAAAUGCAAUUAAAUGGCAUGUCAUACAUUACAGUCACAAAUGCUGACUGCAUUUAAAAAAA